UACCAUGCAGUCGAGCGGAGUGAUGGUGCUUGCACUAUCACUUAGCGGCGGACGGGUGAGUAAUGCUUAGGAAUCUGCCUAUUAGUGGGGGACAACAUUUCGAAAGGAAUGCUAAUACCGCAUACGUCCUACGGGAGAAAGCAGGGGAUCUUCGGACCUUGCGCUAAUAGAUGAGCCUAAGUCGGAUUAGCUAGUUGGUGGGGUAAAGGCCUACCAAGGCGACGAUCUGUAGCGGGUCUGAGAGGAUGAUCCGCCACACUGGGACUGAGACACGGCCCAGACUCCUACGGGAGGCAGCAGUGGGGAAUAUUGGACAAUGGGCGCAAGCCUGAUCCAGCCAUGCCGCGUGUGUGAAGAAGGCCUUAUGGUUGUAAAGCACUUUAAGCGAGGAGGAGGCUACUGAAGUUAAUACCUUCAGAUAGUGGACGUUACUCGCAGAAUAAGCACCGGCUAACUCUGUGCCAGCAGCCGCGGUAAUACAGAGGGUGCAAGCGUUAAUCGGAUUUACUGGGCGUAAAGCGCGCGUAGGCGGCUAAUUAAGUCAAAUGUGAAAUCCCCGAGCUUAACUUGGGAAUUGCAUUCGAUACUGGUUAGCUAGAGUGUGGGAGAGGAUGGUAGAAUUCCAGGUGUAGCGGUGAAAUGCGUAGAGAUCUGGAGGAAUACCGAUGGCGAAGGCAGCCAUCUGGCCUAACACUGACGCUGAGGUGCGAAAGCAUGGGGAGCAAACAGGAUUAGAUACCCUGGUAGUCCAUGCCGUAAACGAUGUCUACUAGCCGUUGGGGCCUUUGAGGCUUUAGUGGCGCAGCUAACGCGAUAAGUAGACCGCCUGGGGAGUACGGUCGCAAGACUAAAACUCAAAUGAAUUGACNGGGGNCCCGCACAAGCGGUGGAGCAUGUGGUUUAAUUCGAUGCAACGCGAANAACCUUACCUGGCCUUGACAUAUAAGAACUUUCCANANAUGGAUUGGUGCCNUUCNGGNAACUUACAUACAGGUGCUGCAUGGNUGUCNNCAGCUCNNGUCNUGAAAUGUUGGNUUAANUCCCCCCAAC
This 1050-nucleotide ribosomal RNA is filed under the name uncultured Gammaproteobacteria bacterium. RNAcentral's name for it is "bacterial SSU rRNA". It matches the Rfam family "Bacterial small subunit ribosomal RNA", at positions 52 to 1093 of the family's 1533-position model. Lineage: Bacteria; Pseudomonadati; Pseudomonadota; Gammaproteobacteria. The record is from RNAcentral.